CUUUUAUGGAGAGUUUGAUCCUGGCUCAGGACGAACGCUGGCGGCGUGCCUAAUACAUGCAAGUCGAGCGAACAGAGAAGGAGCUUGCUCCUUUGACGUUAGCGGCGGACGGGUGAGUAACACGUGGGCAACCUACCUUAUAGUUUGGGAUAACUCCGGGAAACCGGGGCUAAUACCGAAUAAUUUAUUUUACUUCAUGGUGAAAUACUGAAAGACGGUUUCGGCUGUCACUAUAAGAUGGGCCCGCGGCGCAUUAGCUAGUUGGUGAGGUAACGGCUCACCAAGGCGACGAUGCGUAGCCGACCUGAGAGGGUGAUCGGCCACACUGGGACUGAGACACGGCCCAGACUCCUACGGGAGGCAGCAGUAGGGAAUCUUCCACA
RNAcentral lists this ribosomal RNA (383 nucleotides) under Lysinibacillus xylanilyticus. RNAcentral's name for it is "bacterial SSU rRNA". It matches the Rfam family "Bacterial small subunit ribosomal RNA", at positions 1 to 370 of the family's 1533-position model. Lineage: Bacteria; Bacillati; Bacillota; Bacilli; Caryophanales; Bacillaceae. The record is from RNAcentral.